UCGACCUCUCAACUCAUUUCCUUGUUGAUUUUUGCCGGAGGCUGGAGUAGGUACCGUUUGACCCCUGCAGACCCAGCCAUCUUCCUGUAACGCUGGGCAACGGUGAUGUGUAUUUACAGAGUGUACGCCAUCGAGUGAGAGCAGAAGUGACAUGCGUGGAGACAAACAAAUAGAAAACCCGCAAGCGGUUGCCGUGGGAGCCAGACAGAUGUUAGUGAUACCUCACUAAGGGGCACCUGGAGAGUCUCCUGAAUGCUCAUUGGUUGAGGGCUCCAACUGUAAAGGAAAGCCAAUCAGAUGGCAGGACAAAGCAGGCAGGAUCCACGAAGAACCAACAGUUUUUUCCGCCAUUUUGUUUGCACAGGGAAAGAACAGUCAC
This is a long non-coding RNA of Osmerus eperlanus (European smelt), 379 nucleotides long. RefSeq lists it as uncharacterized. Lineage: Eukaryota; Metazoa; Chordata; Actinopteri; Osmeriformes; Osmeridae. The transcript is spliced from 3 exons. The record is from RefSeq and is a predicted model, not a curated record.